UCAGGAAAUCCUAGUUUCAACACCAUCCAGUCAACACAAAAAUGAAUGUGAUACAGUCUUUUCACAAGGAAUAAAUAAGUUGAAAAAACACUUUACUGAAAUGUCUCUAGAAUUAUCAAAGAUUUCUCAAAACUUCAGAGCAAUGAAGAAACACAUUAAAAAACCUGAUAUUAACCACUCCAUGGAAUGUGUAACAGAAGAGCGAACUCCAAGGAUAUUUUUACAAAUCCUGAAAGAUUAUAUCAGAUUUUUGUAGCAAACACAGUGACUGUUAAUUAUUUUGGAAUUUACAGAUAAUGUAUUUGUUGUGUUUUUAUUUAUUAAUUAUUUUAUUUAUUGUAUUCAUUAUAUAAAACUACAUAUUUAUUGUUUUGAAAUGCUUAUGCUCAUACUGAUUGUACAAUGUUUGCAUAUAGAAAAUAUGCACAAAUUUGUAAACUAUACUGGGAACCCAAGAAGCUGGCAAAGAAGGG
Protopterus annectens (West African lungfish) is the source of this 473-nucleotide long non-coding RNA. RefSeq lists it as uncharacterized. The record is from RefSeq and is a predicted model, not a curated record. NCBI's taxonomy places the organism in Eukaryota, Metazoa, Chordata, Ceratodontiformes, Protopteridae. The transcript is spliced from 3 exons.